Long non-coding RNA from Triticum dicoccoides, 1098 nucleotides. RefSeq lists it as uncharacterized. The record is from RefSeq and is a predicted model, not a curated record. The transcript is spliced from 3 exons. Lineage: Eukaryota; Viridiplantae; Streptophyta; Magnoliopsida; Poales; Poaceae.
UGUGAAAUGUAGUCUGAAGCUUGAUGCAUAUAGUUUCUCAUAUAUUUAAUAAAACUUUGCACUUGUAUGCACCAGACCUGUGGGUCAGUUGGUUCAGUUUCAUAGUUGUGUAUCUGCCCAUAGUAUUUUUAUUGCUGACAUCAGAUUUCAUAUGUUAUGAGGUACACAACACUGAUUACUGAUUAGAUUUAGAUACAAGCAGAUCAAUAUAGUUGUAUGAAUCAAGCUCUUGUGAGUAGGUGACAUUUGUGAGCAACUAUUCUGCACAUUUUUUAGAUAGAAAUAGUAACUCGAGCAUUGCUGCCCUGUUGCAGGCUUUCAACUCACUAUAUCAUGUUGAUCUUGUUGUCUUUAUCGAUCAUUGAGAAGAAAGCAAGAAAGGUGCUCUGACAUUAGAACUGUUUUUCUUUGUCCGAAGACGUCGUGUUCAGUUGCUGGGUGCCUUUCAGUUCAUUGGUUUUGGCACUCGAGGACUACAUAGAUUUUCUGAAGAAGCAAUCUGCAAAUUAGUUGAAGAGGUAAAGGAAUCAAAGCAAGAAGACUUGUACUCGAUUGGAAAUUGUGUUUCUGCGCUAGAGAUAAUUGAAGAGCUAUCUGUUUCAGCAAAAGCAAAGGCGCUGCGGCUUUUCAAAUGCCCAAUGAAUAGAGAGAUAUUCAUCAAUACCAAGAACCCAAGCCUUAGGCUUUUCUGGUUGAAGGAGGAGAUUACUGCAAUGGAGAGAACAUAAGUUCAGUCAACAUCAAGAUGCAGUACCUGAUGUCGAUGAGGAUGCGGAGUGGAGAAACGACUUGAGUAGGGCUGAUCGGCGCCUUGCAGUUCUUCUAAUUCGAAAGUAUCUCUUGCCGUGGACUUGGCAAGUGAUAAAUCAUUUUUUUGCUAUCGUGAACAAAUUUGAAUGAUGAUGGCACAUGAAAACGGUUUCGACCAACGCUCGAUCUGAAUGAGAUGUGGACCGACCGUAUCUGAACCCUUGUGAAUUGAUGGCUAUUGGUCGUAAUAAUUCCUAAAAAUCUAGUUUACAUAAAUUCUGAGAUUUUAUGUGUUUUUUUUAGAAUUAUUCGUGGAAUUCUUAUCUAUGGUCCAUUGUUAUCUGUAGA